GACGAACGCUGGCGGCGUGCUUAACACAUGCAAGUCGAACGGAAAGGCCCUGCUUUUGUGGGGUGCUCGAGUGGCGAACGGGUGAGUAACACGUGAGUAACCUGCCCUUGACUUUGGGAUAACUUCAGGAAACUGGGGCUAAUACCGGAUAGGAGCUCCUGCUGCAUGGUGGGGGUUGGAAAGUUUCGGCGGUUGGGGAUGGACUCGCGGCUUAUCAGCUUGUUGGUGGGGUAGUGGCUUACCAAGGCUUUGACGGGUAGCCGGCCUGAGAGGGUGACCGGGCACAUUGGGACUGAGAUACGGCCCAGACUCCUACGGGAGGCAGCAGUGGGGAAUAUUGCACAAUGGGCGGAAGGCUGAUGCAGCAACGCCGCGUGCGGGAUGACGGCCUUCGGGUUGUAAACCGCUUUCGCCUGUGACGAAGCGUGAGUGACGGUAAUGGGUAAAGAAGCACCGGCUAACUACGUG
RNAcentral lists this ribosomal RNA (468 nucleotides) under uncultured bacterium. RNAcentral describes it as "partial 16S ribosomal RNA". It matches the Rfam family "Bacterial small subunit ribosomal RNA", at positions 28 to 507 of the family's 1533-position model. The record is from RNAcentral.